GAAUAUUGGACAAUGGGGGCAACCCUGAUCCAGCAAUGCCGCGUGUGUGAAGAAGGCCUGCGGGUUGUAAAGCACUUUCAGUAGAGAAGAAAAGCCUAAGGUUAAUAACCUUGAGUCUUGACGUAACCUACAGAAGAAGCACCGGCUAACUCCGUGCCAGCAGCCGCGGUAAUACGGAGGGUGCAAGCGUUAUCCGGAAUUACUGGGUUUAAAGGGUGCGUAGGCGGCUUUGUAAGUCAGGAGUGAAAGUUUGCGGCUCAACCGUAAAAUUGCUUCUGAUACUGCAUAGCUAGAAUCAGGAUGAGGUCAGCGGAAUGUGGCAUGUAGCGGUGAAAUGCAUAGAUAUGCCAUAGAACACCAAUUGCGAAGGCAGCUGGCUAGACCUGUAUUGACGCUGAGGCACGAAAGCGUGGGGAGCGAACAGG
Molecule: ribosomal RNA, 425 nt
Filed under: uncultured bacterium
Lineage: Bacteria
Description: bacterial SSU rRNA
Rfam family: Bacterial small subunit ribosomal RNA
Source: RNAcentral